Long non-coding RNA from Callorhinus ursinus (northern fur seal), 815 nucleotides. RefSeq lists it as uncharacterized. The record is from RefSeq and is a predicted model, not a curated record. Lineage: Eukaryota; Metazoa; Chordata; Mammalia; Carnivora; Otariidae.
GUUUAUGAGCUUGUGCAUUAGGGUCUUUCCCUCAGGUCUAAAUGUUCCAGCAAUGGGUCAGUUCUCUGCAGAAUUAGGGGAAUUCGUAGGCUCUACAAAUCCCUCUGGAUCAGUGUGUUCUAUCCUGAAGCUCUCCAAAGAAAGAAGGAAUUAAUCUAUUUUAUAUAAGAUAGAGCUGUCAGUGAGGAAAAGUGCAUGGACCCAGACCCAGAAGCCAACCAACUGGCAUGAAAAUUCUAAUUAUGAGUCAAGUUGUGUGACUUUGGUCAAAAAUGAUAGAGUAUAAGUAACUUCACAGGGAUGAACCUAAUGGCAUUAUACCUGUCUCACAGGUACUUUAUGGUGAUGAAGGGGAGGAGCAGGAAGAGCUAAUAUGGCGUAAGGUGCCACCUCCCCAUGCUGCUGGGCUCCUCAGUUUCCUUACCCCAGAAUGUGGUUUCCUGACAGAACAUGAUCGCGCUGAGCUGAGCAAGACCUGUGGAGAACAAGGGGCAACAGGAAAGUAGCUGCAUGGUGCUCCAUGAACUGAACUGUGACAGCCGACAGCCCCGGGGUGAGCAGCCCAAGCUCUUCGAAGACCGCUAGGACCAGAGGCUCAUGUGUGAGGCGAAGGUCACACCCAGAAAACAGAAGCAGCGGCUUAUUCUACAGGAGCUCUCAGACUAUGGUUGAGCCAAGUCUCUAGACAGAAAGAGCUUCUCAAAAUACAGCCACAAAUUGAGCUCAGGCUUUUACAAAGCAACCUCACAUUUAAAACAAACAAAAAAAAAAUUAAGAUUUUAUUUAUUUAUUCGAGGCAGACAGAGAGCACAAGU